This 254-nucleotide ribosomal RNA is filed under the name uncultured bacterium. Its description in RNAcentral is "partial 16S ribosomal RNA". It matches the Rfam family "Bacterial small subunit ribosomal RNA", at positions 524 to 776 of the family's 1533-position model. The record is from RNAcentral.
UACGUAGGGGGCAAGCGUUGUCCGGAUUUAUUGGGCGUAAAGAGCGUGUAGGCGGCCAGGUAGGUCCGUUGUGAAAACUCGAGGCUCAACCUCGAGACGCCGAUGGAAACCAUCUGGCUAGAGUCCGGAAGAGGAGAGUGGAAUUCCCCGGUGUAGCGGUGAAAUGCGCAGAUAUCGGGAAGAACACCCGUGGCUAAGGCGGCUCUCUAGUACGGUACUGACGCUGAGACGCGAAAGCGUGGGGAGCGAACAGG